CAACUAAGCACUCUAAAACGUAGUGGCUACAAAAUAAUUUAUUACUAUUAAUUCUGUUUUCAGGAUAUUUUAAAUUUACUUCAUGGAUCACCAAGUAGUUCCAUAAUACAAUCAAGUAUCUGUACGUUAUUGAAAAUUACGUCAAGACCAUGUUGGUGUAACUUGGUUUCUAUCAUGCUACUGAUCAUGGAUGUUUGCUUAUAAGGCUAUACACACUCAUAUAAAGCUUUGAAGUUCUUAUUAUUCAUUGUGAUGUUUUAUUUGAGGAGCAGGAGAACAUACAGUCAGCAAAGUGUUGGGCUAUGUUAAUAAAAAUGACACCUUACCGAAACUAGACACAUGAGAGGAAACUCACAUUCUUCAAGGAAAUGUUCAAGAAUGGAAUUCUCAUUAACCUUGGGCAUCCUCCAGAUGCUCCUUUGAUAAUAGUGACUACCAUGCACGCCAUGUGGUUGAGCCCACUGACCCAUACAAUACACGGUGUGACUGCACAUGGGAAGGCUAAAAUCAAAGUUUCUGAACAGUGGGUUGCCCAAUUUCAGAUGAACCUCUUCAGACUCAAUAUUUUUCUUAGCCUUUGUUGAGCAAACGCUCAACAUGGCUCACAUCAUGGUUUUUUUUUUUUUUUUUCUUUAGUUACUUAUCCAGAUGAUGGGAUCAUGUGCAUUCGUGAUGAAAUAAUGUGUCCUGUGUUGACUUUGAUUUUAAAGACAUUUGCAUUGUCCCCACAUAAAGGUUCUAUGUCAUCUAGCUUUUGAAGAUAUAUUGAUUUUAUUUUUUUAUUUGUAUUCUGCACCACAUAUGUGUGUCUAGUACUUGUGGAUGUCAGAGAGGCAACUAGAGUUAUGGAUGAAUGUGAGCCACCACGUGGGUUUUGGGAACUGAACCCACGUCUUCUGCAAAAAUAUUAAAUGUUUUAACCACUGAACCAACUCUUCAAUCAUCUGUGCCAUUUUUGUGGACAGUGGUAGUCAUUACUAAAAUACCAUCAAGGCUUUAUUUAACCAUAGAUUUAAAAUUAAUGAUAUCAUUCUUCUCCAAGCAUUUAACUUUCAGAAAACAGAAAACCUGUGAAAACCCAGGAAGACAGAUAGCAUUUAUUUUGAUUUUUAUGAUGACAUCUCACUCUGUAGCUUAGCAUCGCCUUGAGUUCUCAUUCUGUCUCAGUUUCUCAAUAGCUAGGAGAUUUGAUGUUUUUAUUGAACUCCUAUUUCUAGAUCCUGGUACAGUGGUUGGCACCUAUGGUGCUAGUUACCUAUUCCUUGAAUGAAUGAAGACUACAGAUAAGAUCUUUCUAGUAGACAGAGAAAUUAUAAUACAGUCUACCAGACCUUAAAUUUUCACUCACAUAACCCUGCGAAAAUAUGGCUAUUAAGUUCUUUUCUUUUAUUAUUUUGUUUCCUGGUCUUCCUCCAUCCAUGAACUUCUCAUAUUUACCGUUUGAAAGAAUUAAAAGAUUAAGUUUCUUAUUUAUUUGUGUAGGUGUGUUUGUGUGUGAGGGUUUCUCUUCCAUGGUGCACAUGUAAAGGUUAGUGAAUAACUUUUGGGAUUGUUCUCCUGCCAUAUAGGUACCGAGGAAUUGGACUCAGGCCAUCCAGUUUGGCAGCAAGUAACUUUACACGCUUAGCCAUCUCUAUGAAUGUGUACUACUGAUAGGGACACAGCCUUGUCAAGGACCCCAGAGGAGGCACAGACCCAUAGAGGAACAGCAAAGCCUUCCAUCUCAUGGUGAAGCUUGAGGAAAAAUGAAUCCGGGUCAUGUGUGGAUGUUGAUAUGGUAUAUAGAAAUUGUCCUUCAUAGUUUUCUCCUCCAGAUAUUUACAGCCUAAAGACUGCUCCCAAAUAGAGACUGCUCCUACCAUAAUUAGCCAGUCCUGUCUCCUUGAUCUAUCUGUACACCUUGGCUGUAUACUUUGGGAUCCAUAAAUCUUGCCUCCUCACCUAUCUGUAUGUAACCCCAUCUCCAAAUUCAGCUGUAUGCAGUAAUCCCAUUUCUCGAUCAAUUCUACAUAAGAAACAUGCUGGGACUGGGCUGGGGGCUUCAGUUUCUCUGGAAGAGACCCCAGACCACAUGACUCUAGCUCCCUAGCUACCACCCUUUCUCUUCUUCCUCCCUUCUUUUCUUCCUCCCUUCUCUUCUCUUCUCUUCUCUUCUCUUCUCUUCUCUUCUCUUCUCUUCUCUUCUCUUCUCUUCUCUUCUCUUCUUUCUUUCUUUCUUUCUUUCUUUCUUUCUUUCUUUCUUUCUCUUUCUCUCUCUUUCUCUCUCUCUCUCUCUCUCUCUCUCUCUCUCAUUCUUUCUCUCUCUCUUCCCCUCCCUCUCUCCCUCCCUUUCUCCCUCCCUUCCUUCCUUUCUUUCCUCUAUCUCUUCCCCUCCCUCCCUCCUUCCCUCCUUUCCUUCUUUGUCUCUCUCCUCUGUCUCUUUCCAUCUUUAUGUCUUUUCUCCUCAUUGUACUCCAGGCAGGUCUGUCCCUGGAGCUGAAAAUGGAUGUAGCACACUAGAUACUAUACUUUU
RNAcentral lists this long non-coding RNA (2512 nucleotides) under Mus musculus (house mouse). Its description in RNAcentral is "long non-coding RNA chr9:91489624-91492136". The record is from RNAcentral. Lineage: Eukaryota; Metazoa; Chordata; Mammalia; Rodentia; Muridae.